CAAUAUUCUUCAGUCGGAGUGGCGCAAGGGUGCGUAACACGUGGGCAAUCUACCGCGAAGACCGGAAUAACCUGCUGAAAGGCGGGCUAAUGCCGGAUGUGACUGUCUGAAGGAAUCUUCGGACACUCAAAGUUGGGGACCGUAAGGCCUGACACUUCGCGAUGAGCCCGCGGCCUAUCAGCUAGUUGGCGGGGUAACGGCCCACCAAGGCUAAGACGGGUAGCUGGUCUGAGAGGACGACCAGCCACACUGGAACUGAGACACGGUCCAGACACCUACGGGUGGCAGCAGUCGAGAAUUUUUCACAAUGGGCGAAAGCCUGAUGGAGCGACGCCGCGUGGGGGAUGAAGGGCUUCGGCUCGUAAACCCCUGUCAUUCGAGAACAAACCCUACGAUUUAACAGAUCGUGGGCUGAUAGUAUCGGAAGAGGAAGGGACGGCUAACUCUGUGCCAGCAGCCGCGGUAAUACAGAGGUCCCAAGCGUUGUUCGGAUUUACUGGGCGUAAAGGGUACGUAGGCGGCGAGGAAAGUUUGAGGUGAAAUCUCCAGGCUCAACUUGGAAAAUGCCUUGAAGACUUCCUUGCUCGAGGGUCGUAGAGGAGACUGGAAUUCUCGGUGUAGCAGUGAAAUGCGUAGAUAUCGAGAGGAACACCAGUGGCGAAAGCGGGUCUCUGGACGACACCUGACGCUGAGGCACGAAAGCCAGGGGAGCAAACGGGAUUAGAUACCCCGGUAGUCCUGGCCCUAAACGGUGCGCACUUGCUGUGAGUAGAUUUAAAACCUACUCGUGGCGUAGUUAACACGUUAAGUGCGCCGCCUGAGGAGUACGGUCGCAAGAUUAAAACUCAAAGAAAUUGACGGGGGCCUG
RNAcentral lists this ribosomal RNA (868 nucleotides) under uncultured bacterium. Its description in RNAcentral is "bacterial SSU rRNA". It matches the Rfam family "Bacterial small subunit ribosomal RNA", at positions 77 to 923 of the family's 1533-position model. The record is from RNAcentral.